CCCUUAGAUGUCCGGGGCCGCACGCGCGCUACACUGAAGGAAUCAGCGUGGCUUUCUCCCUGACCCGAAGGGGUUGGGAAACCCGUUGAAUCUCCUUCGUGAUAGGGAUUGGGGCUUGAAAUUGUUCCCCAUGAACGAGGAAUUCCCAGUAAGCGCGAGUCAUAAGCUCGCAUUGAUUACGUCCCUGCCCUUUGUACACACCGCCCGUCGCACCUACCGAUUGAAUGACUCGGUGAAAAAUUGGGACCGUGAGUCUGUUUGCUUCAUUGCGAGUGGAUUGAUGGGAACUUUUUUAAACCUCGCCAUUUAGAGGAAGGUGAAGUCGUAACA
RNAcentral lists this ribosomal RNA (330 nucleotides) under uncultured eukaryote. RNAcentral's name for it is "partial 18S ribosomal RNA". It matches the Rfam family "Eukaryotic small subunit ribosomal RNA", at positions 1470 to 1796 of the family's 1831-position model. The record is from RNAcentral.